This 906-nucleotide long non-coding RNA is filed under the name Rhinopithecus bieti (black snub-nosed monkey). RNAcentral's name for it is "lncRNA (ENSRBIG00000045823.1)". Lineage: Eukaryota; Metazoa; Chordata; Mammalia; Primates; Cercopithecidae. The record is from RNAcentral.
CUCCACGGUAUUAGCUUUCUACUGCUGUGUAACAAAUCACCACAACUUAAUAGCUUAAAAUAGCACACAUUGGUUACCUCACAGUUCCUGUGGAUUUAAAGUCCAGACAUGGCCUUAGGUGAGUCCUCUGUAAGCUGCAAUCCAGGUGCCAGCCAGGAUUGAAUUCUCACAUGCAGGCUUGACUGGGGAAAGAUCUAGUUUUAAGCUCACUCAGGUUAAUAGAGUUCAUUUCCUUAUAGCUGUAGGAUUUGUGGCAGCUUGUUCUUCAAAGCUUGUGAGCACACCAAGAUUCUAGACUGAGUCAGCUGGUGAUAUGGAGUCUUCUAUGACAUCAUAUAAUCCUAUUACCUUUGUCAUAUUCUAUUGGUUAGAUGCAAGUCACAGGUCCUACACACACUGAAGAGGAGGGUGCAAUAAGAGUAUAAUGCCAGAAACAGGGAUCAUGUAGUAUCACCUUAGGUUCAAUAUGUCACCACCACUGUCCUUACAUUCUCUUAGAUUCCCAAUUUUCUCAUCAGUGUUACCAGGAUAUGACAGAAGGAUGGUCAGACACCUUUCAUGAGUUCAGGCAGCACCACUUCUAAUGAGGACUAUUAUGAAAUAGCUUCUGUGACAAUGGAAAGGGAACUUCCUUCAGGCCAAGAAAGAUGAUGCAAUGAGCACAACAGCCACUUUUAUCACAUGCAGAAGUUGCCAGCGCCAUGGGGUUCUUGUCACCAGGUAGUGCCACCUGAUGCAUGAUGGUAGUGUUUGGACGAACGGAGGGAAGAUGGCACAGUUCCGGGUUCUUCGCCGUCAACUUUCCCGCACCCGGGAGAGACAUGGGUCGACUGUGCAGGCGCAACCCAACCUCCAACGGAGAAGAACCGGAGCCCGCCUAGCCACGCCUACUGCCCCGCCCCCGCC